Long non-coding RNA from Dioscorea cayenensis subsp. rotundata (Guinea yam), 2125 nucleotides. RefSeq lists it as uncharacterized. The transcript is spliced from 2 exons. The record is from RefSeq and is a predicted model, not a curated record. Lineage: Eukaryota; Viridiplantae; Streptophyta; Magnoliopsida; Dioscoreales; Dioscoreaceae.
GGCUUAUGACAUAAAACAAGAGUUUUUUUGGAAGCAACCAAAGUUUUCAAUUCAAUUGUUGUGGUAGUUUUUAAUCUUUGUAACAAUAAGGAUGCAUGUUGUGGUUUUGUCGUUUUAUUUUUGCUUGGUGGGUGAUUUUUCAUGUCGUCUUGGUGCUUUUUGUUUGAGUUGAUUUUAGUGUGUUCUUUGGAGAAUUUGAUUUUAUUUGGUGAGUUUGGAAUCGUUUCUGAAAUUUCUACAAUUUUAAUACAUGAGAGAGUUGAAUUCUUAAAUUUAUAGUGCUUUGGCUUAAUUUUGUAAAGGUUUUAAUGAGUCCAUGGCCAUGGGCAUUUGAAUUUUUCAGUCGCAUGGCCGUGGGAACCAUUUUGCUUGAGUUUUCUUAGUCUUCAGAGGAGUACACGGCCAUGGGAAGUUGAUUUUUUCCUUCCCGGCCGUAGGUUCCCCUAAGAUUGAUAUUUUUCAAUCUCUAGAAGGGUGCACACCCGUGGGAAGAUGGAUUUUUUCCUUCCCACGCCGUGGGUUUCAUUGGGCCUGUAAUUUCUUGAUCUCCAGAGGAGUGCACAACCAUGGGGGGUGAAAUUUUCCCAAUCCACGCUUGUGGGGUGUCUCAAGGCUGAUUUUUCUUUUGUGGGUUGUAAGGCCCACGACCGUGGGUCACAAACCCAUGUCAUGGGUUUCAUUUUUUUGUUGUUUUCUUGACUUGGGGUUGAGCUUUGGAAGUUUAUUUGAUGGCUUUUUGGUCAUUCUCCUUGCUUGACACCUGGCCAUCUCCACCCUUGUUUCAGUGACACAUGGGCGUGGGCUUUUAUAACCCAUGGCCUUGGAUAAUUUUUUAGCCAAAGACCAAGUGUUUCUUCAUUCUUCUUCUUCAACUCUCAUCUUUUCUAAACCUCACAAGCUCCUCUCACCCUCUUUUGCCUCUCAAACCAAAUUCUCUUUCAUUUUCUUGGGUUUUUUAAGCUUUUUCCGACAUUUGGGUGCCCGAUCUACUCUUAUUGUCGUCGCCAAGAGGACCAACCAUGGCAAGAUAGCCAUGGCCGUGGGAAAUGGGGUUGCUGAAGUUUGAGAUUUAAUUAGUUUUUUAUUCCUUUGUGCAUGUAUGCCUCCUAGGACCAAACAGUAGCUCACAAAAGAUCCCGUCACGCACGUGAGGCCAUAUCAUUGGAUGAAUUUGCAUUUGCAAUGCAGGAGCACAGGGAAAGAUUUGAGCGCCUUCGCCACCUUAAGUUUGGGUAAGACAUUACAUUGAUUGGCGAGCGCUUCGAACAAUUAGCUUGAAAGAAGUCCGAGAAUUAGUAAAUGUGGGGGAAUGGAGCAAACUAUUGACCAUGCGUGUUGAGAGGCAACACUCGAAUUCCUUGCCACAUUUGAAUUUGACAAGUUGGUGAAGAACUUUGAUCAAGAAAAUGCUAUUUAUGUUUGAUGUUUGGGAAAUAAUUAUAAGUUGAGCUUGACAAAGUUUUCAAUUAUCUUUAUGAUCAAGAGAUUAUGUACAAACCGAGGGGUACGCGCAGUUGGAAACCAAUUACCCUCGAAAUGUCACUACCAAUCGUGCUUAUUAAUAUCUGGGCCGAGGUAACUUUAAGUCAGGGGUUCCUAAAGCUUCAGCCCUUAUGCGACCAGCAUUUCACUACAUCCACGUAGUUCUUAGCAGAACAGUUGCAGGCCAUGGAGAUGGUACGGGAGUCUUGAAUCGAAAUGACAUCUUGUAAUUUGUAUCGUAUGAUUCAGGGCAUCCCGAUGCAUAUAUAUUUGACAUAUUGUGGUCAGUUUUCUUCUGGUGGUGAUGUCACAGAUGGUGUUGAGGAGGUCCUGGAUGAUGUGUUGUACUUGAUGAGAAUUCUGAGAAGAGACAUUGUUGUGGUCAUGUCUCCUCCGAGAACUGCUACCUCCAUCUCAAGCCUCGCAAGUUGAUUACGUGCUUCGGUGGAUAGUUGUUCAAGUAACUGUGGGGCCUCUUCCUCGGUUGGAGAAUGGUCAGUGUCCAUGGGCGGGGCUUUGGUGACUCGGGGGUAUCCUCAAGACUCUCUCCCUCGCUUCUCUCAUUGUCGAUCAAUGUAAACUCACCCUCAAACCCCUCCAUAAGGAGGAUUUAAUGACCAUUGAGCGUUUAGUUGCCACCUAA